UACGUAGGCAGCGAGCGUUGUUCGGAAUUACUGGGCGUAAAGAGUGUGUAGGUGGUGUCGUAAGUUUGGUGUGAAAUCUCCCGGCUUAACUGGGAGGGUGCGCCGAAGACUGCGAUGCUGGAGUAUGGGAGAGGAAAGCGGAAUUCCUGGUGUAGCGGUGAAAUGCGUAGAUAUCAGGAGGAACACCUGCGGUGUAGACGGCUUUCUGGACCAUUACUGACACUGAGACACGAAAGCGUGGGUAGCAAACAGG
This 253-nucleotide ribosomal RNA is filed under the name uncultured bacterium. Its description in RNAcentral is "partial 16S ribosomal RNA". It matches the Rfam family "Bacterial small subunit ribosomal RNA", at positions 524 to 776 of the family's 1533-position model. The record is from RNAcentral. RNAcentral also lists the same sequence under 1 other name.